This 494-nucleotide ribosomal RNA is filed under the name uncultured bacterium. RNAcentral describes it as "partial 16S ribosomal RNA". It matches the Rfam family "Bacterial small subunit ribosomal RNA", at positions 28 to 506 of the family's 1533-position model. The record is from RNAcentral.
GACGAACGCUGGCGGCGUGCCUAAUACAUGCAAGUAGAACGCUGAAGGAGGAGCUUGCUUCUCUGGAUGAGUUGCGAACGGGUGAGUAACGCGUAGGUAACCUGCCUGGUAGCGGGGGAUAACUAUUGGAAACGAUAGCUAAUACCGCAUAAUAGUAGAUGUUGCAUGACAUUUACUUAAAAGGUGCAAUUGCAUCACUACCAGAUGGGCCUGCGUUGUAUUAGCUAGUUGGUGGGGUAACGGCUCACCAAGGCGACGAUACAUAGCCGACCUGAGAGGGUGAUCGGCCACACUGGGACUGAGACACGGCCCAGACUCCUACGGGAGGCAGCAGUAGGGAAUCUUCGGCAAUGGACGAAAGUCUGACCGAGCAACGCCGCGUGAGUGAAGAAGGUUUUCGGAUCGUAAAGCUCUGUUGUAAGAGAAGAACGAGUGUGAGAGUGGAAAGUUCACACUGUGACGGUAUCUUACCAGAAAGGGACGGCUAACUACGU